UGGGGAAUAUUGCACAAUGGGGGAAACCCUGAUGCAGCGACGCCGCGUGAGUGAAGACGGUCUUCGGAUUGUAAAGCUCUGUUGCAGAGGACGAAACAAAUGACGGUACUCUGUGAGGAAGCCACGGCUAACUACGUGCCAGCAGCCGCGGUAAUACGUAGGUGGCAAGCGUUGUCCGGAAUUACUGGGUGUAAAGGGAGCGUAGGCGGGAAUCCAAGUUGGGUGUGAAAUGCCCGGGCUUAACCCGGGAGCUGCAUCCAAAACUGGAUUUCUUGAGUGAUGUAGAGGCAGGCGGAAUUCCUAGUGUAGCGGUGAAAUGCGUAGAUAUUAGGAGGAACACCAGUGGCGAAGGCGGCCUGCUGGGCAUUAACUGACGCUGAGGCUCGAAAGCGUGGGGAGCAAACAGGAUUAGAUACCCCCGUAGUCC
This 427-nucleotide ribosomal RNA is filed under the name uncultured bacterium. RNAcentral describes it as "bacterial SSU rRNA". It matches the Rfam family "Bacterial small subunit ribosomal RNA", at positions 355 to 796 of the family's 1533-position model. The record is from RNAcentral.